GACAAUCUGGGGCUGUCGCUAGUGGCAGCCGCCUGGUGCUCGAGUUGGCAAGGCUAAGCAAAACCGGAAAGGUCCUGGAGUCUCGCCAGUAGGCAGCCUGCACACCGACUGAAGCAGACAGAGUCACUCCAGCUGAAUGAGCUCCAGCUUAUUGACAACCCAGCAAUAGAGGAAAAAAGUACUGAAUGGAUGCGUAGGUCUCCAGGAACAUAAAAGUCAAAGAGGAGAUCAUCCAAAUGAAUUGAAGCCUAAACUAAAUAUGUAACAUGCAAACCUAUUCAGCUCAUUAAAUCCCCCCCACAGCUGGGGACAUGGUGGACUCAUGGACCUGUGAGGGAGCAGCUAUAUCCACUACACCAACAUGCUGUCCAGGAAUUGUUUUAUGAAAACAACAUAUAAGAGGAUCAGAUAACCUUAAAUAUUGUGAGAUCUGUGAAAAUAAUGCUGUUAUGUCUUAAAAAUGUGAUUUUUUUGCUCCAUUGUUUUUUAGUUCUAUACCAACAUUCUAGGAUGUACUAUAAUGAAAAUAAAGUGCUAAUGUUUUAUUAAGCUAUAUAACCCACAUUCAAAGCCAAUUAAACCUUUCUGGUUUGCUCUUGUUAAUUCACAUUAUUUGAUGUACUUAAUACCAGCCAUAUUUUUAAUCACAGGAAACCAACCUUAUAAAUUUGAAAAAAUAACUUGGCCUAAAAUGAAAGACACACCUUUAUUAAGAUGGCUACUAUCGGGGUAACAUUCUGUUUUUUAACACCAGAGGUCAGGGUUGUACAGCUCAAAUAUCAACAAUUUGAGUAAUAGAACUUAGAAAGACAUAUAAAUAGGGAAAAUGCAUAUAACUACAUUUCCAGAGCUAUGUUUUUUUCAUAAUGGAAUCAUUCCUGGCAUAUUUGCAUCUAUUAAAAUAGCAAAACAUUCAAUGAUUUAUGUGAAAAGGGAGUGAGUUAAGAAGGUUGUAUUAAUUGUA
Molecule: long non-coding RNA, 964 nt
Organism: Erpetoichthys calabaricus (reedfish)
Lineage: Eukaryota; Metazoa; Chordata; Cladistia; Polypteriformes; Polypteridae
Exons: 4
Source: RefSeq, a predicted model, not a curated record